Molecule: non-coding RNA, 572 nt
Organism: Salvia hispanica
Lineage: Eukaryota; Viridiplantae; Streptophyta; Magnoliopsida; Lamiales; Lamiaceae
Source: RefSeq, a predicted model, not a curated record
GGGACAUCCCACAUCCGCAUCACUGGAGGUGACUGAUCCCUCAACGCCCGAAGCAGAUCAUGGUCCCCCACGCUCUCCAUCAACACAAUGUAGCGACUCUUGACAAUCCGUGCAGUCUCUGUUAAGCCUCCCACAAACAUCUCAUUCGUCUUCAUCAUCUCCAGCAUGCACAUCCCCAACAGAAGGUAUCCCGUCAACCGCAGCAAGCCUGAGCAAUCCACCCUCGCAGACCGAGCCCAACAACGCACAAUCCUUGGCCCAAACAAGGCCUAGGCAUGCGAUGUCAAGCCCAAUCCCGGUGGAACGAUUUUGGUCACAAAAUAAAAAACAUAUCCAAAUCAAAUCUUGUUCUAUUGGAAGAAUUGAUAUGAAUGUGCAAUCCUAGCACCACUAUACAUUGAUUAAUACCGCCCAAUAUAUAUGAAUACAUGGGUUAUGAAAACCUCGCACCUAUUGAUAAGUUAAAGUAGUGCAUAGCCAAUAUCUUAUAUUCAAUGUUAAAUACAUAAAUUAAGAUACAAUAACUACUGAUACCUUGUUUUCCAAUAUAUAACAAGAAAGACUUGUCUCAA